RNAcentral lists this small nuclear RNA (110 nucleotides) under Phascolarctos cinereus (koala). The record is from RNAcentral. Lineage: Eukaryota; Metazoa; Chordata; Mammalia; Diprotodontia; Phascolarctidae.
GGGCUUGACUUCAGCAGCACACAUACUAAAAAAAUGGAACGAUGCAGAGAAGAUCAGCAUGGCCCCUGCGCAAGGAUGACAUGCAAAUUCGUGAAGCGUUCCAUAUUUUA